Molecule: ribosomal RNA, 468 nt
Filed under: uncultured bacterium
Lineage: Bacteria
Description: bacterial SSU rRNA
Rfam family: Bacterial small subunit ribosomal RNA
Source: RNAcentral
GCCCAGACUCCUACGGGAGGCAGCAGUGAGGCCUCUUGGUCAAUGGGCGCGAGCCUGACCCCGCCAAGUCGCGUGCCGGAUGACGGCCCUCCGGGUUGUACCCUUCUUUUGUCAGGGCGCCAUUGGGUCCCCGCGUGGGCUUCGCGCGAGCACCUGCAGCCCCAGCAUCGGCUCCCUCCGUGCCCGCCGCCGCGGUAAUCCGGCGGAUGCGAGCGUUCUCCGGAUUUAUUGGGGGUAAAGGGUGCGGAGGCGGAAUAGCAAGGCAGCGGUAAAAAGGCGGGGCUCAACCCCGUCGUGCCGUGGAAACUGAUGUUCUUGAGGGGGCGAGAAGUAUGCGGAAGGCGUGGUGGAGCGGUGAAAUGCAGAGAGAUCACGCAGAACGCCGAUUGCGAAGGCAGCAUACCGGCGCCCAACUGACGCGGAAGCACGAAAGCGGGGGUAUCGAACAGGAUUAGAUACCCUGGUACG